This 215-nucleotide long non-coding RNA is filed under the name Mytilus galloprovincialis (Mediterranean mussel). Lineage: Eukaryota; Metazoa; Mollusca; Bivalvia; Mytilida; Mytilidae. The record is from RNAcentral.
UCGCAUUCUUCUGUCUUUCUUGAUGUCAUUACAUUCAUCAUAGAUGUUGGCUGGUCAUUGUAACUUGGUGUACCGUGAAGUGGUCCUGACAGUAAAUAACCUAUUUUUGAUUUUACGGCAGUAGGUCCCUCACCUCUAAUGAUAUGGUUUUCUAUAAUUGACCAAUAGUAGUCGGCUCCUACGAGUACUGAGACUUGGAAAUUGUCGUUCGCGAU